RNAcentral lists this ribosomal RNA (253 nucleotides) under uncultured bacterium. Its description in RNAcentral is "partial 16S ribosomal RNA". It matches the Rfam family "Bacterial small subunit ribosomal RNA", at positions 524 to 776 of the family's 1533-position model. The record is from RNAcentral.
UACGGGGGGGGCAAGCGUUGUUCGGAAUUACUGGGCGUAAAGGGCUCGUAGGCGGCCAACUAAGUCAGACGUGAAAUCCCUCGGCUUAACCGGGGAACUGCCUCUGAUACUGGAUGGCUUGAGAUUGGGAGAGGGAUGCGGAAUUCCAGGUGUAGCGGUGAAAUGCGUAGAUAUCUGGAGGAAUACCGGUGGCGAAGGCGGCAUCCUGGACCGAGAUUGACACUGAUGAGCGAAAGCCAGGGGAGCAAACGGG